UACGAAGGGGGCUAGCGUUGUUCGGAAUUACUGGGCGUAAAGCGCACGUAGGCGGUUUGUUAAGUCAGGGGGGAAAUCCUGGAGCUCAACUCCAGAACUGCCUUUGAUACUGGCAACCUAGAGACUGGAAGAGGUUAGUGGAAUUCCCAGUGUAGAGGUGAAAUUCGUAGAUAUUGGGAAGAACACCAGUGGCGAAGGCGGCUAACUGGUCCAGCACUGACGCUGAGGUGCGAAAGCGUGGGGAGCAAACAGG
Molecule: ribosomal RNA, 253 nt
Filed under: uncultured bacterium
Lineage: Bacteria
Description: partial 16S ribosomal RNA
Rfam family: Bacterial small subunit ribosomal RNA
Source: RNAcentral